AAAAUGUCUACGGCAGGAAAGAGGGUGAGCCAUCACUCUAAAAUUUUUUGUUCGGUUCCAUCGUUGAUCAUAAAAUAGAAUAAAUUUGGGAAAAUAGUGUUGUUUGAUGAAUGAAAGAAGAAUAUUCUAUUCUGCCUCUGUAGAUUCUUAUUAAGCUGACAAAAUAGAAUUUAAAGUUUCACAACUUUUUGUCAAUUUCUGGUGCACUUUAGGAGAUGGUGUAUUGUACUUGGAUGCAUUUAGAAAAUGGAUAUAUUAUGGAACGUCCUGAAUAUUAUUGAUUUGGUACUUUGGUGAGGGAUUUGGAGUAUAAUUCAGACAUUGUUUGCAUGCGCGAAAUACAAGAGUUGGAAUUUGGAAAUGAAUUACUAUCAUACAAGUGAAUAAUGACUAUUGGAGUGGUUUUUGCUGUUUCCUUUUAUCAGAAUAUGGCAGGACUGGAGAAAUA
This 448-nucleotide unclassified non-coding RNA is filed under the name Hevea brasiliensis (rubber tree). The record is from RNAcentral. Lineage: Eukaryota; Viridiplantae; Streptophyta; Magnoliopsida; Malpighiales; Euphorbiaceae.